UACGGAGGGUGCAAGCGUUAAUCGGAAUUACUGGGCGUAAAGGGUGCGUAGGUGGUUUGAUAAGUUAACUGUGAAAGCCCUGGGCUCAACCUGGGAAGGCCAGUUAAGACUGUUGAACUAGAGUAUGGGAGAGGAUAGUGGAAUUUCCGGUGUGGCGGUGAAAUGCGUAGAGAUCGGAAGGAACACCAGUGGCGAAGGCGGCUAUCUGACCUAAUACUGACACUGAAGCACGAAAGCGUGGGGAGCAAACAGG
RNAcentral lists this ribosomal RNA (253 nucleotides) under uncultured bacterium. Its description in RNAcentral is "partial 16S ribosomal RNA". It matches the Rfam family "Bacterial small subunit ribosomal RNA", at positions 524 to 776 of the family's 1533-position model. The record is from RNAcentral.